CACGGUCCAGACUCCUACGGGAGGCAGCAGUAGGGAGAAUAUUCGCAAUGGGGGAAACCCUGACGCAGCAAUACCGCGUGAGUGAAGAAGGUUUUCGGAUCGUAAAGCUCUGUUAUUGGGGAAGAAAAAAGACGGUACCCAAGAAGAAAGUCCCGGCUAACUACGUGCCAGCAGCCGCGGUAAUACGUAGGGGACAAGCGUUGUCCGGAUUUACUGGGCGUAAAGGGCACGCAGGCGGUUUUUUAAGUCAGAUGUGAAAGGUACCGGCUCAACCGGUGACAUGCAUUUGAAACUGAAAGACUUGAGUAUUGGAGAGGCAAGUGGAAUUCCUAGUGUAGCGGCUGAAAUGCGUAGAUAUUAGGAGGAAC
Molecule: ribosomal RNA, 368 nt
Filed under: uncultured Bacillota bacterium
Lineage: Bacteria; Bacillati; Bacillota
Description: bacterial SSU rRNA
Rfam family: Bacterial small subunit ribosomal RNA
Source: RNAcentral